Molecule: long non-coding RNA, 425 nt
Organism: Mustela lutreola (European mink)
Lineage: Eukaryota; Metazoa; Chordata; Mammalia; Carnivora; Mustelidae
Exons: 3
Source: RefSeq, a predicted model, not a curated record
AACAAUAGGCACACUUUUUUUUUUUUUUCCCUCCUUAAAAAUUCUGUUUCAAAAAGCUUUACUGGCUGACAGAAUUCUACCACUCUGCCUUACAAACAAAAUGGCUGUGGUACUGAGUUUUUUUGGAUCCUCCCACUGUGCCUCCUCCUGGCCUCCAGGAAGUGGUAAAAAUCCAAAAUAAAUACAGUACUAAAAGUACAUUGUCCAGGCUCAACUCGGGUGAAACCUUUGGAGAAUUUUCUUCAGAGUUUUUGAGCCGAUAUUCAUGAUUUACAAGAUUUGUUUUGGUAAAGGACGCUCUAUACCCAGUCUGGAGCCCAAGGCAAGGCCCAAACCCAUGACUCUGAGGUCAAGACCCAAACCAAGAUCAGAGUCAGAUGCUUAGCCAACUGAGCCACACAGGCUCCCUGUAUGCUAUCUCUUAA